GAUGAACGCUGGCGGCGUGCCUAAUACAUGCAAGUCGAGCGAACAGAUGAGGAGCUUGCUCCUCUGACGUUAGCGGCGGACGGGUGAGUAACACGUGGAUAACCUACCUAUAAGACUGGGAUAACUUCGGGAAACCGGAGCUAAUACCGGAUAAUAUAUUGAACCGCAUGGUUCAAUAGUGAAAGACGGUUUUGCUGUCACUUAUAGAUGGAUCCGCGCCGCAUUAGCUAGUUGGUAAGGUAACGGCUUACCAAGGCAACGAUGCGUAGCCGACCUGAGAGGGUGAUAGGCCACACUGGAACUGAGACACGGUCCAGACUCCUACGGGAGGCAGCAGUAGGGAAUCUUCCGCAAUGGGCGAAAGCCUGACGGAGCAACGCAGCGUGAGUGAUGAAGGUCUUCGGAUCGUAAAACUCUGUUAUUAGGGAAGAACAAAUGUGUAAGUAACUAUGCACGUCUUGACGGUACCUAAUCAGAAAGCCACGGCUAACUACGUG
This 497-nucleotide ribosomal RNA is filed under the name uncultured bacterium. Its description in RNAcentral is "partial 16S ribosomal RNA". It matches the Rfam family "Bacterial small subunit ribosomal RNA", at positions 28 to 507 of the family's 1533-position model. The record is from RNAcentral.